GAUGAACGCUGGCGGCGUGCCUAAUACAUGCAAGUCGAGCGAACAGACGAGGAGCUUGCUCCUCUGACGUUAGCGGCGGACGGGUGAGUAACACGUGGAUAACCUACCUAUAAGACUGGGAUAACUUCGGGAAACCGGAGCUAAUACCGGAUAAUAUAUUGAACCGCAUGGUUCAAUAGUGAAAGACGGUUUUGCUGUCACUUAUAGAUGGAUCCGCGCCGCAUUAGCUAGUUGGUAAGGUAACGGCUUACCAAGGCAACGAUGCGUAGCCGACCUGAGAGGGUGAUCGGCCACACUGGAACUGAGGCACGGUCGAGACUCCUACGGGAGGCAGCAGUAGGGAAUCUUCCGCAAUGGGCGAGAGCCUGACGGAGCAAAGCCGCGUGAGUGAUGAAGGUCUUCGGAUCGUAAAACUCUGUUAUUAGGGAAGAACAAAUGUGUAAGUAACUAUGCACGUCUUGACGGUACCUAAUCAGAAAGCCACGGCUAACUACGUG
Molecule: ribosomal RNA, 497 nt
Filed under: uncultured bacterium
Lineage: Bacteria
Description: partial 16S ribosomal RNA
Rfam family: Bacterial small subunit ribosomal RNA
Source: RNAcentral